RNAcentral lists this ribosomal RNA (338 nucleotides) under uncultured bacterium. RNAcentral's name for it is "bacterial SSU rRNA". It matches the Rfam family "Bacterial small subunit ribosomal RNA", at positions 8 to 360 of the family's 1533-position model. The record is from RNAcentral.
AGAGUUUGAUCCUGGCUCAGAAUCAACGCUGGCGGCGUGCCUAACACAUGCAAGUCGAACGAGAAAGUGGAGCAAUCCAUGAGUAAAGUGGCGACCGGGUGAGUAACACGUGACUAACCUACCUUCGAGUGGGGGAUAACCUCGGGAAACCGAGGCUAAUACCGCAUAACAUCGCAAGAUCAAAGCAGCAAUGCGCUGGAAGAGGGGGUCGCGGCUGAUUAGCUAGUUGGCGGGGUAACGGCCCACCAAGGCGAAGAUCGGUAUCCGGCCUGAGAGGGCGCACGGACACACUGGAACUGAAACACGGUCCAGACUCCUACGGGAGGCAGCAGUGGGGA